RNAcentral lists this non-coding RNA (22 nucleotides) under Mus musculus (house mouse). Lineage: Eukaryota; Metazoa; Chordata; Mammalia; Rodentia; Muridae. The record is from RNAcentral.
UGUGGUACACUUCGAUUUUCCC